UACGGAGGAUGCGAGCGUUAUCCGGAUUUAUUGGGUUUAAAGGGUGCGUAGGCGGUUUAUUAAGUUAGUGGUUAAAUAUUUGAGCUAAACUCAAUUGUGCCAUUAAUACUGGUAAACUGGAGUACAGACGAGGUAGGCGGAAUAAGUUAAGUAGCGGUGAAAUGCAUAGAUAUAACUUAGAACUCCGAUAGCGAAGGCAGCUUACCAGACUGUAACUGACGCUGAUGCACGAGAGCGUGGGUAGCGAACAGGAUUAGAUACCCUAGAGUCCUGACUACU
RNAcentral lists this ribosomal RNA (279 nucleotides) under Odoribacter splanchnicus. RNAcentral's name for it is "partial 16S ribosomal RNA". It matches the Rfam family "Bacterial small subunit ribosomal RNA", at positions 524 to 804 of the family's 1533-position model. The record is from RNAcentral. Lineage: Bacteria; Pseudomonadati; Bacteroidota; Bacteroidia; Bacteroidales; Odoribacteraceae.